RNAcentral lists this ribosomal RNA (478 nucleotides) under uncultured bacterium. RNAcentral describes it as "partial 16S ribosomal RNA". It matches the Rfam family "Bacterial small subunit ribosomal RNA", at positions 28 to 523 of the family's 1533-position model. The record is from RNAcentral.
GACGAACGCUGGCGGCGUGCUUAACACAUGCAAGUCGAACGGUAAGGCACUUCGGGGUUCACGAGUGGCGAACGGGUGAGUAACACGUGGGUGAUCUGCCCUGAACUUCGGGAUAAGCCUGGGAAACUGGGUCUAAUACCGGAGAGGCACAUGAGCAUACCGGUGUGGGGUGGAAAGCUUUUGCGGUGUGGGAUGGGCCCGCGGCCUAUCAGCUUGUUGGUGGGGUAAUGGCCUACCAAGGCGACGAGUGGUAGCCGGCCUGAGAGGGUGACCGGCCACACUGGGACUGAGAUACGGCCCAGACUCCUACGGGAGGCAGCAGUGGGGAAUAUUGCACAAUGGGCGCAAGCCUGAUGCAGCGACGCCGCGUGAGGGAUGACGGCCUUCGGGUUGUAAACCUCUUUCAGUAGGGACGAAGCGCAAGUGACGGUACCUACAGAAGAAGGACCGGCCAACUACGUGCCAGCAGCCGCGGUAA